RNAcentral lists this transfer RNA (63 nucleotides) under Hypothenemus sp. BMNH 1040235. RNAcentral's name for it is "tRNA-Asn". Lineage: Eukaryota; Metazoa; Arthropoda; Insecta; Coleoptera; Curculionidae. The record is from RNAcentral.
UUAAUAGAAACCAAAGAGAGGUAAAUCACUGUUAAUGAUUAAAUUGGCUAAUACCCUAUUAAA